AGAGUUUGAUCCUGGCUCAGGAUGAACGCUAGCGGCAGGCUUAAUACAUGCAAGUCGUGGGGCAGCACAGGUAGCAAUACUGGGUGGCGACCGGCAAACGGGUGCGGAACACGUACGCAACCUUCCUUUAAGCGGGGAAUAGCCCAGGGAAACUUGGAUUAAUACCCCAUAAUAUCUUCAAAUGGCAUCAUUUGAUUAUU
RNAcentral lists this ribosomal RNA (200 nucleotides) under uncultured bacterium. RNAcentral describes it as "partial 16S ribosomal RNA". It matches the Rfam family "Bacterial small subunit ribosomal RNA", at positions 8 to 202 of the family's 1533-position model. The record is from RNAcentral.